RNAcentral lists this long non-coding RNA (259 nucleotides) under Mytilus galloprovincialis (Mediterranean mussel). Lineage: Eukaryota; Metazoa; Mollusca; Bivalvia; Mytilida; Mytilidae. The record is from RNAcentral.
GCCUGAAGACAAGGAACACCAAACUGUCUAAGUUUGAUAGUUUUUAAAAGAAGUUUGGUCUUGAUACCUUAAUUUUGGUUUAACACUCUUAGACAUAAGAAAAACUAUAUUGCCUUCCCUGACAUUUGAUCUGCAGCAUGAGGUCUUACUCAAUGAAUUCUGUAUCAUACAUGUACUCAAAUCAAAUUUGAUUGUUUGAAUAAAAUAAACUAUUUGAUAUACAUGUAUUAAAAUCAAAUAUGAUUGUUUGAAUAAAAUA